CCUACGGGAGGCAGCAGUGAGGAAUAUUGGUCAAUGGGCGAGAGCCUGAACCAGCCAAGUAGCGUGCAGGAUGACGGCCCUAUGGGUUGUAAACUGCUUUUAUCAGGGAAUAAAGUGCGGCACGUGUGCCGUUUUGUAUGUACCUGACGAAUAAGGACCGGCUAAUUCCGUGCCAGCAGCCGCGGUAAU
RNAcentral lists this ribosomal RNA (189 nucleotides) under uncultured bacterium. RNAcentral's name for it is "partial 16S ribosomal RNA". It matches the Rfam family "Bacterial small subunit ribosomal RNA", at positions 338 to 524 of the family's 1533-position model. The record is from RNAcentral.